AAAAGAUAAGCUAAUUAAGCUAAUGGGCUCAUACCCCAUUUAUAAAGGUUCUAAUCCUUUUCUUUUUAA
RNAcentral lists this transfer RNA (69 nucleotides) under Cryptorhynchinae sp. 7 ACP-2013. Its description in RNAcentral is "tRNA-Met". It matches the Rfam family "tRNA". Rfam says of the family: Transfer RNA (tRNA) molecules are approximately 80 nucleotides in length. Their secondary structure includes four short double-helical elements and three loops (D, anti-codon, and T loops). Lineage: Eukaryota; Metazoa; Arthropoda; Insecta; Coleoptera; Curculionidae. The record is from RNAcentral.